UUGUAGCAGGUCACAUUGAAGAGAGUAGUUUACAGUGUGCAUUUAAUCCAGAAGUGCAACUGCCUGUGAUUGCAAUGUAUGAACAUACUAGGAGCUGUAUUGAAUACUUCAGUACUACCUGACCCAUGUAUCAUUCUUAUGUUACUGGAGCUAACUUAAAUAUCAAUUCAUAAGAUGCUCAUCAAUCAUGGUAAAUUUCAUUCUGAUUGGUGUCUCAGGAAACUUGGAUGAGGAAAUCCAGAGUCAUUUCUGAUUUAUGUCUCAGGCUAUCGGAAUGAGAGAACAAUUCCUGUACGUUGCUAACAUCAUGUGGUCAGG
Molecule: long non-coding RNA, 318 nt
Organism: Hemiscyllium ocellatum (epaulette shark)
Lineage: Eukaryota; Metazoa; Chordata; Chondrichthyes; Orectolobiformes; Hemiscylliidae
Exons: 3
Source: RefSeq, a predicted model, not a curated record